UACGUAGGGUGCGAGCGUUAAUCGGAAUUACUGGGCGUAAAGCGUGCGCAGGCGGCGCGCCAAGUCAGAUGUGAAAGCCCCGGGCUUAACCUGGGAAUUGCGUUUGAAACUGGCGGGCUGGAGUGUGGCAGAGGGAGGUGGAAUUCCACGUGUAGCAGUGAAAUGCGUAGAGAUGUGGAGGAACACCGAUGGCGAAGGCAGCCUCCUGGGCCAACACUGACGCUCAUGCACGAAAGCGUGGGGAGCAAACAGG
This 253-nucleotide ribosomal RNA is filed under the name uncultured bacterium. RNAcentral's name for it is "partial 16S ribosomal RNA". It matches the Rfam family "Bacterial small subunit ribosomal RNA", at positions 524 to 776 of the family's 1533-position model. The record is from RNAcentral.